Molecule: non-coding RNA, 2440 nt
Organism: Procambarus clarkii (red swamp crayfish)
Lineage: Eukaryota; Metazoa; Arthropoda; Malacostraca; Decapoda; Cambaridae
Source: RefSeq, a predicted model, not a curated record
ACCAAGAGCUUUUACUUAAGUAUGUUGUUGCUGUUGAUGAUGUUAUAUAGUAUAUUGAAAGUGAUGCUUAAUGUACAAGUCUGCAAAGAAAAUCAUACCACAUGAUUACAAUGGAAUUUGAGUUUUGACUCUACUGUACACAGUUGGUUCAUCAGUUUAGGUACUGUAUACGGUUGACUCACCAGUUUAGGUACUGUACACAGUUGGUUCAUCAGUUUAGGUACUGUACACGGUUGGUUCACCAGUUUUAAGUGCUGUACACGGUUGGUUCAUCAGUUUAGGUACUGUAUACGGUUGACUCACCAGUUUAGGUACUGUACACAGUUGGUUCAUCAGUUUAGGUACUGUACACGGUUGGUUCACCAGUUUAAGUGCUGUACACGGUUGGUUCACCAGCUUAGGUACUGUAUACAGUUGGCUCACCAAUUUAGGUACUGUACAUGGUUGCCUCACCAGUUUAGGUACUGUACACAGUUGGCUCACCAAUUUAGGUACUAUAUUUCGGCAUUGUCUUGUCAAUUUCUAGAUAAGAUUGUUAGAAUAUAUCCAUGCAUUAUCUUCAUAUUGAAAAACAGAUGUAUUAACAUGAUAAAGCUGGCUUAACCACUGAACUGCGCAACGCACCUGCAGGCGCUCGACGAGGGGUGCGUAAUGUGCCUCCGGGAUCUUAUAUUUUUAGAGUUCCAUUCAAAACUGGCGCGGUGAUGCGGGUACAAAAUGGAUGCCUGGGAGCCCCAGUAAUUGUCCGUCAUCUUGAAAAAAAUCCCAGCAUGUCCUGUGGCCAUGGGGAGCCUCAAUUUCAAAGAAGCAACCAUGUCUGACGCAUCGUCCAUGAGCUCCCGCUCUUCGGUCACCAGCAGUCAUGGAAAACGACUCUCUGAGGAGGAAAUACGCGACAUUUUGUCUGAUGAUGCUGCUAUGGAUGAUGACGUAGACUAUGAUCCAGAGAAAGACCUUACACAGAGGUCUGAUAUGAGUGAGGGAGAGACUGAGGUGGAUGAUGUCGCAAGUGUGUACAGUACACACGCCUCACCCAGCCUGCCUCGCCACCCUGGGUCAACACCGUUAGAGUCACCACCACUAUGUGUGUCCUCUGACACAAGUUUGUUCAGUGAUAGUACUUGCGAUGAAUCUUUCUCAGGCUUCAGUGACAUAGGUUCCGAUACAAGUAGUGUUGACGACCCGAGUACAUAGCGAGGGUGUUAAUACAGUACAGUAGUUGGGAUGUUAUAAGCCACUAUGUUUUCCCUAUUUUUUCAUGGUUUAACCAAAUCUUUACAAACUUUGAUUGAUUUGGUGUAGAGCUGAUGCUGUAAUAUGCAGCCAAAUAUUUUUAACAAGAAAUCAAUUUCUAAAAUAUAUACCCCCUAUAACAUUGCAAAACAUGUUUACUGUACUAUCUUUAUUUCUAUAUGAGUGAUCCUACCCUUCUGGUGCCUUCAAGAUAAUUCUAACAUAUAGAGCAGAAAUUAUUGAAAAGAAAAUAUUUAAUUAUUUUUUACCUGAAUGUGAAAUAUAUCUACUUUUGUCCAAAGAAAAAUGAUUAAAUUGACAUCAAAAUCUGUACACUAUCGGUCAGUUCACACUAUGAUAAGUUUUGUUUUGUGGUGAGAAUAUUAAGCAUAGGCUUCUUUAUGAUCAUCAAAAAUGUGAAGAAUGAACUGUAACUAAUUGUCUCUUCAAUUUCCCAAGGAUAUUGUAGCCAGAUGUGCAAUGAUCACUGGAGGUCAGUCAUCAUCAUCAUCAUUACACUGUUUUCCUGGGGUGAUGAGGCAUCAGCAUUGAAUUAAUGUGAAACAUGCAGAAUCAUUCGGUUACUCCUAUUAUAAGCACCCUAGAAGAGAGACAACAUUAGGAUGCCGUCCAAGAUUCAUGAGGACCUUAAGCUCUUGUAUUAGGUCUCGUCUUUCUCUCUCUCCUGCAGACUCCUUCAGUGUUUUCACUGCCACCAACUUGGAUCCUUCACCCUUCAGCCCUAGUGCCUCACACUUCCACACCUGCACCACAAAUAAAUUAAUUACAAGAUAAAUUAGAUGACAGAAGGAACUAUGAAGGAUAAGCAACUGUACAGAAAUUAGAGGCUAACAUUUAAUAUAUAAUGGCAAUCAUGGAAACCAAGACCAAGCUAUUCAAAAAAGCCUACAGCUAGAAAAACUCAUCAAAAACACAUCAGGGAGAAAGGGGGGAACAGUUUACAAGCCAUCAGAAUUCUGCCCAAGCCAGAUAAAUCAUUUAAAUGCCUGAACGUUGUGCGUAUUAGUGGCUUCAGGCAUAAUAUAUACUAGCUCUUUCUAGAAAUUCAACAUUCUGCUUGUAAUUCAUUUUGUUUGUACUUUUACCUAAAUACACUAUUAUUUUUAUUAAUAUUAUUAUUAUUAAUACAGUAUUGUUCUUUUGAGCAUAUGAUGUGUGUGUAAUAAAAUAAAAUUAUUAUAUCUCA